AACUAGCCUACCUGGUUAAAUAAAGGUGUUCUCAACUAGCCUACCUGGAUAAAUAAAGGUGAAAAAAAAAGAAAAUUAUAGUGCAUCUGACCUCUUAACAGACCCCAGACUACUGUCACUAUAGGACUAGGUUAACAGACCCCUGAUCACUGUAGGACUAGGUUAACAGACCCCAGACUAGUAUCAUUAUAGGACUAGGUUAACAGACCCCAGACUAGUAUCAUUAUAGGACUAGGUUAACAGACCCCAGACUACUGUCACUAUAGGACUAGGUUAACAGACCCCUGAUCACUGUAGGACUAGGUUAACAGAUCCCUGACUACUGUCAUUAUAGGACUAGGCCCUCCUUGAUUUCCCUUGGGCCCCUGGGACCAGUGGAGCCUCACUACAGUGUAGUGUAGUCAUACUAUGGCCCAUGCUGAGAGAACAGGACAUUGCUGUCCUCCAGCAGUCGCUACCAGAGUGUAACGGGUUAGACAGGCCGGAAUGGGUUUACACAGCUGGACCUGAACCAUUUCUGUCCGAUCCAUAUGAACACCAUACCUGAGGAACGCCAUACACCAUACCGGAGGAACACCAUACCUGAGGAACGCCAUACACCAUACCGGAGGAACGCCAUGUAAGCUCACACACACUAGGUUACAGAUGGUGUGUAGCUUGUUUAAGGUUUAUGAGCUGUGUAUAUGUGCA
Molecule: long non-coding RNA, 690 nt
Organism: Oncorhynchus tshawytscha (Chinook salmon)
Lineage: Eukaryota; Metazoa; Chordata; Actinopteri; Salmoniformes; Salmonidae
Source: Ensembl